This 890-nucleotide ribosomal RNA is filed under the name uncultured bacterium. RNAcentral's name for it is "bacterial SSU rRNA". It matches the Rfam family "Bacterial small subunit ribosomal RNA", at positions 8 to 916 of the family's 1533-position model. The record is from RNAcentral.
AGAGUUUGAUCCUGGCUCAGGACGAACGCUGGCGGCGUGCCUAACACAUGCAAGUCGAGCGAUGAAAUCCCUUCGGGGAUGGAUUAGCGGCGGACGGGUGAGUAACACGUGGGUAACCUACCUCAAAGAGGGGGAUAGCCUCCCGAAAGGGAGAUUAAUACCGCAUAACAUUAGUUUUUCGCAUGGAGAACUAAUUAAAGGAGUAAUCCGCUUUGAGAUGGACCCGCGGCGCAUUAGCUAGUUGGUGAGGUAAAGGCUCACCAAGGCGACGAUGCGUAGCCGACCUGAGAGGGUGAUCGGCCACAUUGGAACUGAGACACGGUCCAGACUCCUACGGGAGGCAGCAGUGGGGAAUAUUGCACAAUGGGCGAAAGCCUGAUGCAGCAACGCCGCGUGAGUGAUGAAGGCCUUCGGGUUGUAAAGCUCUGUCUUUGGGGACGAUAAUGACGGUACCCAAGGAGGAAGCCACGGCUAACUACGUGCCAGCAGCCGCGGUAAUACGUAGGUGGCAAGCGUUGUCCGGAUUUACUGGGCGUAAAGGAUGCGUAGGCGGAUAUUUAAGUGAGAUGUGAAAUUCCCGGGCUUAACUUGGGAGCUGCAUUUCAAACUGGAUAUCUAGAGUGUGGGAGAGGAGAAUGGAAUUCCUAGUGUAGCGGUGAAAUGCGUAGAGAUUAGGAAGAACACCAGUGGCGAAGGCGAUUCUCUGGACCAUAACUGACGCUGAGGCAUGAAAGCGUGGGUAGCAAACAGGAUUAGAUACCCUGGUAGUCCACGCCGUAAACGAUGAGUACUAGGUGUAGGGGGGUCCAACCUUCUGUGCCGCAGUUAACACAAUAAGUACUCCGCCUGGGAAGUACGAUCGCAAGAUUAAAACUCAAAGGAAUUGACGG